CUCAGACAAGCAGCUGGAAGCCUGGUGCGCGUGGAUGUCCCCAUGGCUUUAAAGGACGCCCCACAGAACACGGAUUAAUCAUAAUAGAGAGAAAGGACAGCGUUGCAGGGGAGGCUGCAGACACGGCAUCAAUUAAACCGUCAGCGUUCACGUCACCAGAGACCGCCCAGGGUGAGAUUUUACACCUGCCGCCAGGACACCUGCAGAAGCGCAGCCUCACCCCCUGCUGUCCCCGCCCACCCAGGAUCUCAUCACCAGGAAUCCAAAGGCAAAGCAGUCCGAGUGCCCACAGCACGGAGGGGCCAGGAGCCUGCACAGGCUGACAGAGAUGGAGGAGAGACGGCGGCUUGGGGAAGGGCGUGACACCAUCAGACUCUGCUCUCAGAAACUCGUGGGGACAGUGGUCAGGCUGCAGUGGGGCCUUGCAGGGACCUGUCCAUUCCCUGAUUCUGACGAUGCUGAGGGCUUGUGAAUGUCCUUGUGUGCAGGAAACACACCAAAGAGCCUGGCUGUGUGGACCACGGUGCAGCCCAGCUGCGCACACUGCGUUUCCUGUACCAUACUCGGCACUCCGGCCUUGCCUGCGCACUGCCUGAGUCUGCAUUAUCUCUGUGUGUAACUUGGCCCCACCCCGGGAUCCGGGGAGGCUGAUCCCCCACGGGCCUCUCCCAACCUGAGCAGCGCCCUCCUGGCCACUGUCCACUGCUGCCUGAGGCCCUGCCCCAGCAGAAGGCACAGGCUGGGACAGGCCUGCAAGAAUGGCCAGGAGGGGCCUCCCAGGGUCGAGGCAUCUGAGCAGCACCCUGCAGGACGGGCAGGCCCCUCAUGCCCCGGGCACCUGCACAGGGCCUGCGAUCUCAUGCAUUCGAAUGGUGCCGAAUGGGCCAGGGUGUCCUGGGGGAUCCUGUCGGGCGCCCUCCUCAGCUCUUCCACUUUCCACAGUAAGUACUUCGAUAGUAUGGCUCAUGGUCACCCCAAGUCCCCGAGAAGGAAAGAGAGUGACGCCAUGGAGAUGGGAGGUCGGCCCUGCAAAGGGCACCAUAGUCCUGGGCACUACUUCUCCUGGGGAAUGGGGGCUUGGGCACCUUCUUCUCCUCCUUCCUCCCUCCCUCCAUCCUCCCUCUCUCCCUUCUUUCUCCCUCCCUCCCUCCUCCCUCUGACUUACACCCCCAAAUUGCCAGUAUCGCCCCCUCCCCAGUUGCAACAACCCCAAACAUUCAGAUAUUGAUUUGUGUUUCCUGCUUGGGGGCAGAAUCACUCCUGUUCCAGCACCGCUGGGCCCCCACAUUCCCCCACGGGCAGGGACCCACCUCACUCCCCCCACACCCAUGAGCCCACAAGGCUCUGGCCCCCACCCCCAUGGCUGCUUGGUGAAAUGACAGCCCCGCUCUGCUGAGAGCCGGGGAAGAGGAAGGGGCUGGGGCAGGGAGUCCAGCUUGGGAGCCCUGUGAGCCCCUCUAGGAGCCUGGCCCUGGCUGGAGAGAGCAGCACUGGGAUGAAACCCACUUAAUUCAUGGCGGCACAGCAUUGCCAUCUGCAGCACUCGUGCUAAACUCCAUCAAAAAGCAGACGCAGGCUUUCCUUCCUGGCUCCGCAGCCCGGGGCCGGAAUCAGCUACGCCCACUGCACCGAGAUCAGCUUUGAAAAGUCCCCAUUGCAGACGUGCGGCAAAGGCUGGAGUAAGCUGGAAGCUUUGCUAAGGCCGCUCUGCUGUGAUCAGCCUGGCCUGGGGCGCCCUGAGGGAUUCCUGAGCCGCCUCCUGCACCCCUCCCCGUCCUCCAGGAUGAGGCCCUCAUUCAGGCAUGCCUGGCCCCUGGAGGCAGAGAGCCUGGGACUCCAUGGAGAAGCCGUGCCCUGCGCCCACUCGGCCUGGAUGGGAGCCCGGGCCCUGUGUGGUCACACCCGGAGGUCCUCGCCUGCAGCGGCGGGGGCAGACUCUGUGGGGGCACCCCCUCCUCCAGCAGGGCUGGCCCCAGUGGGGUGGGAGGAUGUGGUGGAGUGCGUGACCUCUGGAGAAGCUUGGCCGGAGCAGCCCUGGGGGGCAGCCAACUGCUGGGCAGGGGCUCCGGUGGCCCAUUUCCCAUGACAGGCGGCCUGGCCGGGAGGCAAGCACAGUUCCCACUACUUGGUCCCAGCUCCCCAGCUCCGGGCAUUCAGAUGGGCUCGUGGCCACCAGGCCGUUGGGUCCAAGUGAGGACUUGGUGCCCAGCACCUUCCUGUGCAAGAAGUCAGGGAGUUCAAGACGAGAUCAAGGCUGAUCCAGGCCUUGCGCGGCUCCUGCUCACAGGAUCCUGGGGACCGUUUCAAGAAGAGCCUCAGGACACGGAGAAUGCUCAGUCUCCUGGCUCUCCCCGCCAGGCAAGAGGGCCCGGGGGUGGAGGGAAUCCAGGGGACACAGUCCUCACCCCACUGUCAGCGCCAGCAGACCCCAACACUCAUCCCCCAGCCCCAGGCACACAACCCGCCCUGCCGCCCCUCGCCAGGCCCUGCCGGGUGUCCACCCUCUGCGGCAGCAGGUUGGGGAGGAGACGUGCUGGGGAGGGGCCCAGGCCUGGGCGGGCGCUGCCCUUCCUUUCACUCCCCU
This 2584-nucleotide long non-coding RNA is filed under the name Homo sapiens (human). RNAcentral's name for it is "non-protein coding lnc-RABEP2-7:2". Lineage: Eukaryota; Metazoa; Chordata; Mammalia; Primates; Hominidae. The record is from RNAcentral.